Molecule: long non-coding RNA, 765 nt
Filed under: Carica papaya (papaya)
Lineage: Eukaryota; Viridiplantae; Streptophyta; Magnoliopsida; Brassicales; Caricaceae
Description: long non-coding RNA (CPAP_LNC008367)
Source: RNAcentral
UUCAUUGAAGGUCCCAGAAUCGGGCGUUUCGAGAAUGGUGGGAAAUCCAUUGCCUUGCGCGGCCACAGCGCCUCCCUCGUCGUCCUCGGCACCUUCCUUCUCUGGUUCGGGUGGUACGGGUUCAAUCCCGGGUCAUUCGUCAAAAUCCUGGCACCAUACAACUCUGGGAACUUUUACGGCCAGUGGAGCGCUGUCGGACGAACCGCCGUCACCACAACACUUGCCGGUUGCACAGCCGCACUCACUACUCUCUUCGGAAAAAGAAUACUUUCCGGCCACUGGAACGUGACCGACGUCUGCAACGGUUUACUCGGUGGGUUCGCUGCAAUUACCUCUGGUUGCUCCGUCGUGGAGCCUUGGGCUGCUAUCAUUUGUGGGUUCGUAGCGGCGUUGGUGUUGAUCGGGUGUAACAAAUUGGCGGAGAAGAUGAAGUUCGACGACCCACUUGAGGCGGCGCAGUUGCACGGCGGUUGUGGAGCUUGGGGGAUUAUAUUCACGGCGUUGUUUGCGUCGGAGAAGCUCGUGAACGAGGUUUUCCCGAACAAGAUUCCUCGGCCGUACGGAUUGUUCAUGGGCGGCGGUGGGAGGCUUCUAGCGGCUCAUAUUAUACAGAUAUUAGUAAUAGCCGGUUGGGUGAGUGCAACGAUGGGGAGUUUGUUCUUGAUUCUUCGUAAACUGAAGCUUUUAAGGAUCUCUGCUGACGAUGAGAUGGCGGGUAUGGAUUUGACCAGACACGGAGGGUUUGCGUAUGUUUACCACGACGAC